CCUACGGGAGGCAGCAGUGAGGAAUAUUGGUCAAUGGACGAGAGUCUGAACCAGCCAAGUAGCGUGAAGGAUGACUGCCCUAUGGGUUGUAAACUUCUUUUAUAAAGGAAUAAAACGAGGCACGUGUGCCUUUUUGCAUGUACUUUAUGAAUAAGGAUCGGCUAACUCCGUGCCAGCAGCCGCGGUAAUACGGAGGAUCCGAGCGUUAUCCGGAUUUAUUGGGUUUAAAGGGAGCGUAGAUGGGUUGUUAAGUCAGUUGUGAAAGUUUGCGGCUCAACCGUAAAAUUGCAAUUGAUACUGGCAGUCUUGAGUACAGUUGAGGUAGGCGGAAUUCGUGGUGUAGCGGUGAAAUGCUUAGAUAUCACGAAGAACCCCGAUUGCGAAGGCAGCUUACGAAAGUGUUACUGACAUUGAUGCUCGAAAGUGUGGGUAUCAAACAGGAUUAAAUACCCUAGUAGUC
Molecule: ribosomal RNA, 460 nt
Filed under: uncultured bacterium
Lineage: Bacteria
Description: partial 16S ribosomal RNA
Rfam family: Bacterial small subunit ribosomal RNA
Source: RNAcentral